UUAAAUUAGUAAGAGCGCAUAGGUGAAUGCCUUGGCACUAGAAGAUGAUGAAGGACGUGACGAACUGCGAUAUGCUUUGGGGAGUUGUAAGUAGGCUUUGAUCCAGAGAUUUCCGAAUGGGGGAACCUGCUAAUAUGAAUUAUUAGCAACACGAAGUGAAUAAAAUAGCUUCGAUGUGAGAAACCCGGAGAACUGAAACAUCUAAGUAACCGGAGGAAAAGAAAGAAAAAUCGAUUCUCUUAGUAGUGGCGAGCGAAAAGGGAAUAGCCCAAACCAAUCUUAGGAUUGGGGUUGUAGGACCUUGAUGUGAGACCUCUUUAAUAUAGUCGAAACAGUUUGGAAAACUGUAUCUUAGAAGGUGAAAAUCCUGUAGACGAAAUAUUAAAAGGCUCUAAAGGUAUCCUGAGUAGGGCGGGACACGUGUAAUCCUGUCUGAAUCUGCGGGGACCAUCCCGUAAGGCUAAAUACUCUCUAGUGACCGAUAGUGAACAAGUACCGUGAGGGAAAGGUGAAAAGAACCCCGGGAGGGGAGUGAAAUAGAAAACUGAAACCAUGUGCUUACAAAAAGUCAGAGCCCGUUAAUGGGUGAUGGCGUGCCUUUUGCAGAAUGAACCGGCGAGUUAAUGUUGCAUGCAAGGUUAAGUAGAAGAUACGGAGCCGAAGCGAAAGCGAGUCUGAAUAGGGCGUUUAGUAUGUAGUAUUAGACCCGAAACCGAGUGAUCUAGCCAUGAGCAGGUUGAAGUUUGGGUAAAACCAAAUGGAGGACCGAACCGAUAUACCCGGAAACGUGUACGGAUGACUUGUGGUUAGCGGAGAAAUUCCAAUCGAACUCGGAGAUAGCUGGUUCUCCCCGAAAUAGGUUUAGGCCUAGCCUUGAGUGAAUCGUUAUGGAGGUAGAGCACUGAAUGUGUGCGGGCUUCUACUAGAGGUACCAAAUGCAAUCAAACUCCGAAUGCCAUAACUGAAUACUCAGGAGUCAGUGUGUGGGUGAUAACGUCCAUACGCGAGAGGAAAAUAAUCCAGAUCGCCAGUUAAGGUCCCUAAAUUCAUGCUAAGUGGGAAAGGAUGUAGAGUUGUCAAAACAGCUAGGAGGUUAGCUUAGAAGCAGCGAUCCUUUAAAGAGUGCGUAAUAGCUCACUAGUCGAGUGACACUGCGCCGAAGAUGUACCGGGGCUAAGCAUGAUACCGAAACUGCGGAUUAUAAGUAAUUAUAGUGGUAGGGGAGCGUUCCAAGGGCGCUGAAGAUAGACCGUGAGGACUGUUGGAGCGCUUGGAAGUGAGAAUGCCGGUGUGAGUAGCGCAAGAUGGGUGGAAAUCCCAUCCACCGUUUGCCUAAGGUUUCCUGGGCCAGGUUCGUCCUCCCAGGGUUAGUCGGGUCCUAAGAUAAGGCUGAAAAGCGUAGUCGAUGGAUAACAGGUUGAUAUUCCUGUACCACCUAUAUAACUGAUGGAAUGACGAAGAAAGCUAGGAAGAUCCAGUUAUUGGAUUCUGGUCUAAGCACAAAGACAGAUGAAAUAGGCAAAUCCGUUCAUUAAUAAUGUUGAAGUGUGAUGGCGAAGUGGUUUACCACGAAGUCUUCUGACGCUAUGCUUCCGAGAAAAGUUUCUAGGGUUAAUUAUAUAGGUGCCCGUACCGAGAACCGACACAGGUGGGCAAGGAGAGUAUCCUAAGGUGAGCGAGAGAACUAUGGUUAAGGAACUCUGCAAAAUGACUCCGUAACUUCGGGAGAAGGAGUGACAUAGAAAUAUGUUCGCAGCAAAGAGGCCCAGGCAACUGUUUACCAAAAACACAGCUCUCUGCUAAAUCGUAAGAUGAUGUAUAGGGGGUGACGCCUGUGAACGGCGGCCGUAACUAUAACGGUCCUAAGGUAGCGAAAUUCCUUGUCAGGUAAGUUCUGACCCGCACGAAAGGCGUAAUGAUCUGGGCGCUGUCUCAACCAUAGACUCGGUGAAAUCUUAAUACCUGUGAAAAUGCAGGUUACCCGCAACUAGACGGAAAGACCCCAUGGAGCUUUACUGUAGCUUGAUAUUGGAAUUCGAUUUAUGAUGUAGAGGAUAGGUGGGAGACGUUGAUUCUAUGACGCCAGUUGUAGAGGAGUCAUCCUUGGAAUACCACCCUUUGUAAAUUGAAUUUCUAACCUAGAGCCAUUAUCUGGUUCAGGGACAGUGUCUGGUGGGCAGUUUGACUGGGGCGGUCGCCUCCUAAAAUGUAACGGAGGUGUUCAAAGGUUCCCUCAGAAUGGUUGGAAAUCAUUCAAAGAGCGUAAAGGUAUAAGGGAGCUUAACUGCGAGACCAACAAGUCAAGCAGAUACGAAAGUAGGACUUAAUGAUCAGGCGAUUCUGUAUGGAAUGGUCGUCGCUUAACGGAUAAAAGUUACCCUGGGGAUAACAGGCUGAUACCACCCAAUAGUUCACAUAGACGGUGGUGUUUGGCACCUCGAUGUCGGCUCGUCACAUCCUGGAGGUGUAGUCGCUUCCAAGGGUUGGGCUGUUCGCCCAUUAAAGUGGCACGCGAGCUGGGUUCAGAACGUCGUGAGACAGUUCGGUUCCUAUCUGUUGUGGGCGUAGGAAAAUUGAGAAGAGCUGUCCUUAGUACGAGAGGACCGGGAUGGACAUACCUCUGGUGUAUCUGUUGUAGUGCCAACUGCAGCGCAGAGUAGCUAUGUAUGGAAUGGAUAACCGCUGAAAGCAUCUAAGCGGGAAGCCAACUUCAAGAUGAGUUUUCCCAUUGCGUAAGCAAGUAAGAUUCCUGGAAGACUACCAGGUUGAUAGGCUGGAGAUGGAAGCAUUGUAAGAUGUUGAGUUGACCAGUACUAAUAAAUCGAGGAUUUAUCCAU
RNAcentral lists this ribosomal RNA (2837 nucleotides) under human metagenome. Its description in RNAcentral is "bacterial LSU rRNA". It matches the Rfam family "Bacterial large subunit ribosomal RNA". The record is from RNAcentral.